RNAcentral lists this unclassified non-coding RNA (229 nucleotides) under plant metagenome. RNAcentral's name for it is "partial contains small subunit ribosomal RNA, internal transcribed spacer 1, and 5.8S ribosomal RNA". The record is from RNAcentral.
UCUCCGUAGGUGAACCUGCGGAGGGAUCAUUACAGAGUUCAUGCCCUACCGGGUAGAUCUCCCACCCUAUGUUAUUAUUACUUUGUUGCUUUGGCGGGCCGUUAGGCUCCGGCCCGACUACCGGCCCCGGCUGGUAACCGCCCGCCAGAGGACCCAAAACGCUGAAUAUUAGUGUCGUCUGAGUACUAUAUAAUAGUUAAAACUUUCAACAACGGAUCUCUUGGUUCGG